UGAUCAGUCUAGGGUAGAUCCUCAUCUAGAUGUGGCAGAUUCACACCUAACUGCUUAGAAUCACUUGUUAUUGCAAGUAUGACUACUUCAUUGACACUCAUAAAACAUAUUUGAAAUAAAAGGUAUAUCAAAUUAUGAAU
This is a non-coding RNA of Populus trichocarpa (black cottonwood), 140 nucleotides long. Lineage: Eukaryota; Viridiplantae; Streptophyta; Magnoliopsida; Malpighiales; Salicaceae. The record is from Rfam.